AAAAGUUAGUUAAUAAUAACAUAAAAUUGUCAAUUUUAAAUUA
Molecule: transfer RNA, 43 nt
Filed under: Gonatus pyros
Lineage: Eukaryota; Metazoa; Mollusca; Cephalopoda; Oegopsida; Gonatidae
Description: partial tRNA-Asp
Source: RNAcentral